RNAcentral lists this ribosomal RNA (485 nucleotides) under uncultured bacterium. RNAcentral describes it as "bacterial SSU rRNA". It matches the Rfam family "Bacterial small subunit ribosomal RNA", at positions 30 to 511 of the family's 1533-position model. The record is from RNAcentral.
AUUGAACGCUGGCGGCAUGCCUUACACAUGCAAGUCGAACGGCAGCGGACCUUCGAGUGCCGGCGAGUGGCGAACGGGUGAGUAAUAUAUCGGAACGUACCUUUCAGUGGGGGAUAACGUAGCGAAAGUUACGAUAAUACCGCAUAUUCUGUGAGCAGGAAAGCAGGGGAUCGCAAGACCUUGCGCUGAUUGAGCGGCCGAUAUCAGAUUAGCUAGUUGGUGGGGUAAAGGCCUACCAAGGCUACGAUCUGUAGCGGGUCUGAGAGGAUGAUCCGCCACACUGGAACUGAGACACGGUCCAGACUCCUACGGGAGGCAGCAGUGGGGAAUUUUGGACAAUGGGCGCAAGCCUGAUCCAGCAAUGCCGCGUGUGUGAAGAAGGCCUGCGGGUUGUAAAGCACUUUCAGUGGGGAGAACAGAUUCGGGUCAAUACCCCGGAGCCCUGACGUUACCCACAGAAGAAGCACCGGCUAACUCCGUGCCAG